UCUGUUAAUAAUAGUUGUUACUUCCUCAGAUGACAUUAUAUAUUGUCACUGGGAAUGUAAUGACUAUUUUCAACAGA
Non-coding RNA from Bombyx mori (domestic silkworm), 77 nucleotides. The record is from Rfam. NCBI's taxonomy places the organism in Eukaryota, Metazoa, Arthropoda, Insecta, Lepidoptera, Bombycidae.